AUGAGAGCAAAGCGGAGGUGCUGGAAUGGAGUGGAACGGCAUAGUCUCUUCGGGAGUCCAGAGGAGAAAGUUUGGCCGCCGCGUGAGGGAGGAAGGAAGAAGAACUCAUUCACGUGGAAGUUGUACCGUCAAUCUCUAAACCCUAUCCUUUUGUCCAAUACGUUGCCGUUUUGUAAAUAUACAAUUUUAUGUCAUUUAUUUGUUAAUCAUAAUAGUAAUUCAUCAAUUAAUGGCUGA
This is a non-coding RNA of Vicia faba (fava bean), 237 nucleotides long. Lineage: Eukaryota; Viridiplantae; Streptophyta; Magnoliopsida; Fabales; Fabaceae. The record is from the annotation of a GenBank genome assembly.